CACCGGCGGCCCGAGUGGUAAUCACUUUUAUUGGGUCUAAAGGGUCCGUGGCCGGUUUGAUCAGUUCUUCGGGAAAUCUGACAGCUUAACUGUUAGGCUUCGGGGGAAUACUGUCAGACUUGGGACCGGGAGAGGUAAGAGGUACUACAGGGGUAGGAGUGAAAUCUUGUAAUCCCUGUGGGACCACCAGUGGCGAAGGCGUCUUACCAGAACGGGUCCGACGGUGAGGGACGAAAGCUGGGGGCACGAACCGGAUUAGAUACCCGGGUAGUCCCAGCCGUAAACGAUGUUCGCUAGGUGUCAGGGACGGUGCGACCGUUUCUGGUGCCGCAGGGAAGCCGUGAAGCGAACCACCUGGGAAGUACGGCCGCAAGGCUGAAACUUAAAGGAAUUGGCGGGGGAGCACUACAACGGGUGGAGCCUGCGGUUU
RNAcentral lists this ribosomal RNA (430 nucleotides) under uncultured archaeon. RNAcentral's name for it is "bacterial SSU rRNA". It matches the Rfam family "Archaeal small subunit ribosomal RNA", at positions 474 to 903 of the family's 1478-position model. The record is from RNAcentral.